CACGCUGUAAACGAUGAAUACUAGGUGUGGGGGGACUGACCCCUUCCGUGCCGCAGUUAACACAAUAAGUAUUCCACCUGGGGAGUACGAUCGCAAGAUUGAAACUCAAAGGAAUUGACGGGGGCCCGCACAAGCAGUGGAUUAUGUGGUUUAAUUCGACGCAACGCGAAGAACCUUACCGGGAUUUGACAUCCUACUAACGAAGCAGAGAUGCAUUAGGUGCCCUUCGGGGAAAGUAGAGACAGGUGG
This 249-nucleotide ribosomal RNA is filed under the name uncultured bacterium. RNAcentral describes it as "partial 16S ribosomal RNA". It matches the Rfam family "Bacterial small subunit ribosomal RNA", at positions 796 to 1041 of the family's 1533-position model. The record is from RNAcentral.